AGGCAUAUCAUGUUGAAACACUGGUUUUCAUAUGAUCACCAAAGUUAAGCAACAUUGGAUCUGAUCAGUACUUAUAUGGGGGAACACUUAGGAAUACACCAGGUGCUGUAAU
This is a non-coding RNA of Acanthosepion pharaonis, 112 nucleotides long. The record is from the annotation of a GenBank genome assembly. Lineage: Eukaryota; Metazoa; Mollusca; Cephalopoda; Sepiida; Sepiidae.